Molecule: long non-coding RNA, 2493 nt
Organism: Pyrgilauda ruficollis (rufous-necked snowfinch)
Lineage: Eukaryota; Metazoa; Chordata; Aves; Passeriformes; Passeridae
Exons: 3
Source: RefSeq, a predicted model, not a curated record
GCUUAGAGGAUGCCUGGGAUGUGUUUGACAGAGCUGCACUGAGCUUGGCAAUAUCCCCUGACUUCUCACAUAAGAGCAGCAAAUAUUUCAGUCUCUGGUCUUUCUACAAAGAUUAACAAAUGAUCUCUCUGCUAUGAUCUCCCUAACUUUUUAAAGGUCUUUAACUAAAGACCUAAAGUGCUUUCUGUCUUGAUGGCAUCCUGCAAUACUGUGAGAUGGUGGCACGACAAACCUCAUCCCAAACCAUGCAGCAUAUGGAGUUCCUAUAGGUGUGAGUCACACAUUCUGGAGCUGACAUGACACUUCUGUUCAGAUGGCUGCAGCAUCCUCCAGCAUUUUACAGUACCAUCUAUCCCAAUACAUGUGUGUGGAAGACAAUACUCACGUGAGUCAGGAACACAAAACCUAUUCAGCAAAGUGUUCCUUCCAUGUUCUGUGGACAUCUGGCAGCUCUCUUCCCCUCCUGCUGAAACUCUAAGUACUACCAAGUGAAAAGUAGAGCGACCUAUUUUCCUAUUUUUUCUAUUUUUCCUGCCAGUUUGUUAUUCUUCUCUGUCAUGUGGAGCAUCCUUAAGGUUUACAACUGGAAAGUCCUGUGUUCAGAAGGGAACAGGCAAUGAUGUGCUCCCUGCUAAUCUGCUGAAACUAUUGGCCUGCCUGUUGUCUGUAUCCAGAACCAGCAUUUUUUGCUCAAGGCUCUGAUCAGCAUCCUCCCUGUAUUAUUAUCUUGGGAAAUAAGCUCCUACACAGUAAGGGUAAAUUGUGAAAUUGUCUCACCAAAGAAGGGCAAGGGAGCUGGGGAAGGGUCUGGGGCAAACGUCUACUGAGGAGCAGCUGAUGGAUCUGGGGGUGGUUAUUCUGGAGAAAAGGAGGCUCGGGGGGGGGACAUUAUCACUCUCUACAACUGCAUCAAAGGAAGCUGUAAAAAGGAGUUCAGUCUCUUCUCCCACAUAAAAAGUGUCAGAACAAGAGUAAAUGGCCUCAAGCUGAAAAGUUGUAUAUAAAUUUGAAUUCUAUAUGUGUUUACUCAUUCACUUCAAUAAUGAAAAACAUGUUAUAAGUGUUUCUAAUUACAUGAUUUUGAACAAAAAUAUUACAGUAUCCUGUCAAACAAAUCUCAGAAUUCUCUACUACAUGUGUACUUGUUGACAAACAAUAAUAAACCAAUUAUUGUUUUAGUUCUUGGUGAACAUUUAAUAGAAUUCACAUCCCUUACAUAGCAAAUACACACAUAUAUGAGAUUGACAUAAAUUACUCAAUAACAGAUUGUAAAUUCUCUCUCCCUCUCUCUCCUUCUCUUUCUUUCUUUAAUUCAUCCUUCCUUUCUUUCUUGUCUUUCACCCUACCCCUUUAUCCAAAACAUGCUGUUAUGUGCUUAUACAGUAAUCCAGGGACUAAUACCAAUUUCCAUGUCAAGUGUAUAACUUACUGAUAAACUGAGAGGUUUUGCAGAUUUUGUAUAUAUGUAACAAUUUAUUGUUCAUUUUUAUAUUAUGUAUACUCUUUAUAUCUAAUUAAAAUCAUGUCUGGUUAAUAUUUUUUUUCUGUCACUGCUGUUACAGUCUUAAAAUAUAUAUUUUCACAUGAGUUGCAACUGUCUGCAGAUGCCUUACAGUGUACAAGCCUACAUCUAGACAAGUCACCUUCAGUCAUUUUUAUAGGCAAUAAAAAAUAAUAGACAUUUCCACAGUUCAGUUUCCUCUCACACUUGAAGUGUGCAGUGCAGAGGUCUCCUCUUUUGCUGCCAAAAACCUUUAGCAAGGAUACUAAAACUUCUUUGUCUCACUUAUAUUGUCACAAAAGUUCUUCUGAGCAUGUUUCUCAGCAGAAGAAAAUCCUUUUCUUCAAGACCCUCCUGGUUUUUUUCACUGUUCUAAAUUCAGCAGCUCUCCAGGGAGACUUCUGAUAGCAUCCUUGCCCCAUGCAAGGAGCUGGUGCAGAAGCUGUGGAUGAACUGAUUUUCUCAAAGUUGUUGGACAACUGACAAUGUCAGCAAUGCCCAGAAGGACUCCAAGAGACAAAGGUCAACUUCCCAUUUUAGGAAAACACUGUGAAAAGACUUUGAAAUUAGGAGCAUUUCCAGACUUCAGUGCAUGAACACGUCUGACUCGUUGCUGGCAGCUGCCUGCAGAGGUUACUGGAGGCUGCCUGCAGUGGAUGGUGGCAGCCACGCCAGAGAUGUCCUGAAGAACUCCAAGACCUGCUGGGCAAAAGGUCCAUGUGAAAUUCAUGAGUACUCCAAAAAAAGUUUGGAAAAUUGAGAAAACGUUGUACAAUGGCCAAAGCCAGUGAUAAUUUCUGACAUGUUGUAAUAGAAGUGAAAAGAUGUAGUAAUUUUAUUGAUAAAAUCAGUUCUUUUGCUAAAAUAGUCCAGUGGUUGAUCUAUGAACACAAACUGAAAUGGUGACCAAGGGAAAUGGGAGACAGGGAAUGUCCCUCUGUUGACAGCUACAUUCAUCCAUUCAUCUUUGGGUUUACAAGAGAUUCUUUAUG